UGGGGAAUAUUGCACAAUGGGCGCAAGCCUGAUGCAGCCAUGCCGCGUGUGUGAAGAAGGCCUUCGGGUUGUAAAGCACUUUCAGCGAGGAGGAAGGUGGUGAACUUAAUACGUUCAUCAAUUGACGUUACUCGCAGAAGAAGCACCGGCUAACUCCGUGCCAGCAGCCGCGGUAAUACGGAGGGUGCAAGCGUUAAUCGGAAUUACUGGGCGUAAAGCGCACGCAGGCGGUUUGUUAAGUCAGAUGUGAAAUCCCCGGGCUCAACCUGGGAACUGCAUUUGAAACUGGCAAGCUAGAGUCUCGUAGAGGGGGGUAGAAUUCCAGGUGUAGCGGUGAAAUGCGUAGAGAUCUGGAGGAAUACCGGUGGCGAAGGCGGCCCCCUGGACGAAGACUGACGCUCAGGUGCGAAAGCGUGGGGAGCAAACAGAUUAGAUACCCUGGUAGUCCACGCUGUAAACGAUGUCGAUUUUGGAGGUUGUGCCCUUGAGGCGUGGCUUCCGGAGCUAACGCGUUAAAGUCGACCGCCUGGGGAGUACGGCCGCAAGGUUAAAACUCAAAGGAAUUG
This 566-nucleotide ribosomal RNA is filed under the name uncultured bacterium. RNAcentral's name for it is "partial 16S ribosomal RNA". It matches the Rfam family "Bacterial small subunit ribosomal RNA", at positions 355 to 912 of the family's 1533-position model. The record is from RNAcentral.